AGGAGCAACAGCCCUAGUGGCGGGGCCAGCUCUGGAGCCCUGGAUUCAGCCCCCGCAGUAGCUCGGGAGCUCUCCGUCUGCAGGGCCUGGAGGCUCCGGGCGGGG
Molecule: non-coding RNA, 105 nt
Organism: Canis lupus familiaris (dog)
Lineage: Eukaryota; Metazoa; Chordata; Mammalia; Carnivora; Canidae
Source: Rfam